AAACCAACAGGGAUUGCCUUAGUAACGGCGAGUGAAGCGGCAAAAGCUCAAAUUUGAAAUCUGGCACCUUCGGUGUCCGAGUUGUAAUUUGAAGAAGGUAACUUUGGAGUUGGCUCUUGUCUAUGUUCCUUGGAACAGGACGUCACAGAGGGUGAGAAUCCCGUGCGAUGAGAUGCCCAAUUCUAUGUAAAGUGCUUUCGAAGAGUCGAGUUGUUUGGGAAUGCAGCUCUAAGUGGGUGGUAAAUUCCAUCUAAAGCUAAAUAUUGGCGAGAGACCGAUAGCGAACAAGUACAGUGAUGGGAAAGAUGAAAAGAACUUUGAAAAGAGAGUGAAAAAGUACGUGAAAUUGUUGAAAGGGAAGGGCUUGAGAUCAGACUUGGUAUUUUGCGAUCCUUUCCUUCUUGGUUGGGUUCCUCGCAGCUUACUGGGCCAGCAUCGGUUUGGAUGGUAGGAUAAUGACUAAGGAAUGUGGCUCUACUUCGGUGGAGUGUUAUAGCCUUGGUUGAUACUGCCUGUCUAGACCGAGGACUGCGUCUUUUGACUAGGAUGUUGGCAUAAUGAUCUUAAGCCACC
Molecule: ribosomal RNA, 573 nt
Filed under: Debaryomyces hansenii
Lineage: Eukaryota; Fungi; Ascomycota; Pichiomycetes; Serinales; Debaryomycetaceae
Description: eukaryotic LSU rRNA
Rfam family: Eukaryotic large subunit ribosomal RNA
Source: RNAcentral